AUAGCGUAUAUUAAAGUUGUUGCAGUUAAAAAGCUCGUAGUUGAACUUCAGACCUGGCCGGGCGGUCGGCUUAUCGGCUUGUACUGUCUGGCUGGGGCUUAAUUCUUGGUGAGCUGGUGUGCCCUUUAUUGGGUGCGCCGGUGAACCAGGACCUUUACCUUGAGAAAAUUAGAGUGUUCAAAGCAGGCCUAUGCCCGAAUACAUUAGCAUGGAAUAAUAAAAUAGGACGUGCGGUUCUAUUUUGUUGGUUUCUAGAGUCGCCGUAAUGAUUAAUAGGGAUAGUUGGGGGCAUUGGUAUUGAGUCGCUAGAGGUGAAAUUCUUGGAUUGACUCAAGACCAACUAUUG
This 346-nucleotide ribosomal RNA is filed under the name uncultured eukaryote. RNAcentral's name for it is "SSU rRNA". It matches the Rfam family "Eukaryotic small subunit ribosomal RNA", at positions 594 to 945 of the family's 1831-position model. The record is from RNAcentral.